Molecule: transfer RNA, 92 nt
Filed under: Auriculariales sp. MPI-PUGE-AT-0066
Lineage: Eukaryota; Fungi; Basidiomycota; Agaricomycetes; Auriculariales
Rfam family: tRNA
About the family: Transfer RNA (tRNA) molecules are approximately 80 nucleotides in length. Their secondary structure includes four short double-helical elements and three loops (D, anti-codon, and T loops).
Source: Rfam by way of RNAcentral
GACACUAUGGCCGAGUGGUUAAGGCGUUUGACUCGAAUUUAGAAGUUAUCAAAUGGGCUCUGCCCGCACAGGUUCAAGUCCUGUUGGUGUCG